RNAcentral lists this long non-coding RNA (1363 nucleotides) under Homo sapiens (human). RNAcentral describes it as "HSALNT0291481". The record is from RNAcentral. Lineage: Eukaryota; Metazoa; Chordata; Mammalia; Primates; Hominidae.
GCCCCGCUUUCCCCCAGCGCUGGAGACUCCGAGCCCGGCCGGUCCCACAUUCCACGCGAGCUGAAUUCCCGCCCGCAUCCCGCCCGGGCAGCAGGGAUUGCCGGCUCCGGGAGGCGCUCGGGCUCCGAGAAGCGGCUCAGCCCCGCGCCCCUCCCUCCUCAGUACCGCUGCCGGCGGACCAGGAUUCCCGCGGGUCCUGGCGGCUGCGAGCGCGAGGCGGCGCGGAUUCGCGGCUCGGUUCCGGCGCGACUGCUCACCGCGCCCGCCUCGCCUCCCGCGGCUGCCAGCGUGCACUGGGCGCUCCUCGGCGCGUCUGCCCGGCCCGUCUCGGCUUUCCUUCUCCUUCCUCUAGUCCCAGCGUCACAACUCCGCCGACCUCCUCUGCCCUGAGAGCGCGUCCGGUGCGGGCGGAGUCGGACGGACUCUGGCUUCACGCCUCGCGCGGGCACACCUUCUCCCGGGCACUGAGGCCCAGUUAUUAGGGGAGGCAGAGUCCUUCUGGAGUUUGACCCUUGGAUUCCAUCCAGAGCAGCCUCCAAAAUGACACCUUUGAAGUUGUGUAUCGAGCUGGGGGAUGUAAAGGGAGGAGAAGAAAGAAGAUGAAGAGAUACCAGCCAGCCUUAAGGAGUGGACAUCCUGCCUGGUGAAACUGAACAAGACACCUACCGCAUAUGGAGUUUCGCUCUGUCGCCCAGGCUGGAGUGCAGUGGUGCCAUCUCGGCUCACCGCAACCUCCACCUCCAGGUUCAAGUGAUUCUCCUGCCUCAGCCUCUCAAGUAGCUGGGAUUACAGGAGCCCUCUCCCACCGCUCCUACACUGCUGGUAAAAGGCAGCCGCACUGCCUGCUGGAAGACCUGCCAGCUUGGGCUUCAGAGCACUUCUGCCUCAGAUCCACGACGAUCCCUUCUGUCAUCGUGGGACCUUUCCUGGGAUUUGAUUUAGGGCGACGCUUCCUCCUGUCUGUGUCCUGAGUCCUGCCUUCCCUGGCUGGUCCUCUUUGCUUAGUCACCCAGAUCAUUCCCAGACAGCUGCGCCCUGGAUAUGGCUCCUCUCAUGUGCUGCCUGGAAAUGUCUCCUCUCUUCUCACCUGCUGAGAGGUCCUUCUGGGCAGGGACUCGGGCAGAUUCAUUCCUGCCUGCCCCACAUUUCCCUAGCCCAGGGCCUGGCCCGUUGCAGUGCUGAAGGAUGAUUCUGGUAAGAAACAAGGUACUCCAGCUCACAUCUUGCAAUGAUUAUGCCUCCCCCACUCUCCCUUCUCCUUGCAGUUCUCUCUCUUCACUGAUGAUUUUGGAUGCAAUUUAAAAUAAAAAUAUUGAUUAAAAAUGGAAACUAUAUAAAUAAAAAUAAAAACACUUAACAUCAA